RNAcentral lists this ribosomal RNA (1635 nucleotides) under Triticum aestivum (bread wheat). Its description in RNAcentral is "partial small subunit ribosomal RNA". The record is from RNAcentral. Lineage: Eukaryota; Viridiplantae; Streptophyta; Magnoliopsida; Poales; Poaceae.
AUGGCUGACUUCAUCCCGCUCGAGCCCGCUUCCUCUGAGGAGGAGCAUGACCUGCCCCCUGCCCGCUCGCCCUCUCCCCGUGUGUUCUCCUUCCCGGAGCAGACUCAAGCCGCGGAGGUCGACGAUGCGGCCGUCGAUGAGGAAGAAGACCCGAAGGAGGUGGAGUUCGAAUCGGGGGAUGAGUCCACCGAUUCGGAUGCAACCCAAUCCGUGUUUCUCUCCUCCCCGCCUCGACACCGUCGCGACUUCGCCAAUGUCUUCAUGCCCUACACACCUAUUGAGCAUUUCCAAAAUCCUGCUUUCACCAUCGUCAACCCACCCCAUCCCUCUCCCCAAGCUUACAUUCGCCAUGCACUUCAAACCGGGGGUGGCAACCCGCCUGUCCUCAUUAGGGCUUCCUCCUAUGGCGCUGGUCUAGUCGUCUAUGGCUCGGCCUAUGAGAGAGAGAUUUCCAUCCUCAACAGCCCACUCACGUGCCCACUAAACACAGUCAACCUAGUCCGCCACGAAGAUACCGAAAACCGCUUCCUUUUCCGCCUGGGCACGGUCUCUGCCCUACACAUCAAAGUCUUUCCACUAGAGUACUGGUUCAUGCCCACCAUCAUCAACUCAAUUGUCCCUUUCGCAUGCCCUAUCCAGAUCGACCCAGUUUGCUUGACUGGGGUUGACUACUCCGCCGUACUUGUCUCCAUCAAAUCCCGCACUCUCACCGACCUCCUGCCGGACCCUGCCUUUGCGGGGCCAGACUCCGACGACGACGACAACAAUGGAGGUGGGGGCAGCCAUGGUGGGCACGGUGACGGUGGCGACUUCCCCGGAGGCAUGGACCCCAACCUCUCCGCGCCACCACCGCCGCCAACCGACGAGGGCCACGAUGACCGGGUGGUGCAGCUGCCCGGUGGCCUUACCAUGAUGGCAAACCACAAGCCUCUCGUCUGCGCGGUGCCCCUCACGGCCCGGCCAAAAUCCAUGCAUGUCAAGCUCUUCAAGGGCUUCUACGACGUGCGCGUCCAAGGCGUCGGCAGCGAGCGCCGGUUCUACCGCAUCCCCAUGAGCCCGGCGGGCUCGCCCAAGCUGCUCGUCGCCAACCUCGCGGCCUGCUCCAUCGGCUACCUCGACCGGGCGGCUAUGGUCGGCCCCUCCCACGCUCCAUUCACGGACGCCGAGGUGAUCUACAAUGACUUCCGCGGCUGCUCCUUCACCCCCGGCUGCGACGGCGAGGAGCAGGUCAUGCAGGCCAUCGAGCGCUUCGACAAGGCCUGCCACCAGGGCAUGCCGCUGCUACCGCUGUCCCUGUCUACCCCGGCGCCAACCCUUGACCCCCUCGCUGAUCUUCCUCCCCGUGCGGCCUCGCCCAAGAUCUUCUUCACGUGUCGCAGUGCACGCAUCCGGGAGGGAGAGAACCCCAACCGCAUGACGAUGCUUGAGAAGGUUAUGCUCAGAAAGGAGCAGAAGCUGGAAGGAAGGAAGCGUGCGGCCCCGUCACGCGAGCUUCUCCUGCCAGCCGCGGAGCUCCUGGAGCUUGCCGCGGAGGGCGUUCCGCCCCUCCCCCGCCAAGAUGCGCUUGAGCUGGCGGAGGCAUGUGGUGUCCCCAAGUUCGACCUCAACCUGGUGCCAUCCGGCGACAAUGUGUGA